GGCCCAAUGGUCUAGUCGUAUGAUUCGCGCUUCGGGCCGCGAUUGCGCGAGGUCCCGGGUUCAAUUCCCGGUUGGGCCC
Non-coding RNA from Trametes gibbosa, 79 nucleotides. The record is from the annotation of a GenBank genome assembly. NCBI's taxonomy places the organism in Eukaryota, Fungi, Basidiomycota, Agaricomycetes, Polyporales, Polyporaceae.